RNAcentral lists this ribosomal RNA (853 nucleotides) under uncultured marine group I thaumarchaeote. RNAcentral's name for it is "SSU rRNA". It matches the Rfam family "Archaeal small subunit ribosomal RNA", at positions 47 to 906 of the family's 1478-position model. The record is from RNAcentral. Lineage: Archaea; Thermoproteati; Nitrososphaerota.
AGCCAUGCGAGUCUUGUAGUAAUACAAGGCAGACGGCUCAGUAACACGUAGUCAACCUACCCUAUGGACAAGAAUAAUCUCGGGAAACUGGGCAUAAUUCUUGAUAGAUCAUAAUGCCUGGAAUGGUUUAUGGUUAAAAUGAUUCGUCGCCAUAGGAUGGGACCGCGGCCUAUCAGCUUGUUGGUGAGGUAAUGGCCCACCAAGGCGAUUACAGGUACGGGCUCUGAGAGGAGAAGCCCGGAGAUGGGUACUGAGACACGGACCCAGGCCCUAUGGGGCGCAGCAGGCGAGAAAACUUUGCAAUGUGCGAAAGCACGACAAGGUUAAUCCGAGUGAUUUCUGCUAAAGAAAUCUUUUGCCAGUCGUAAAACCGCUGGUGAAUAAGGGGUGGGCAAGUUCUGGUGUCAGCCGCCGCGGUAAAACCAGCACCUCAAGUGGUCAGGAUGAUUAUUGGGCCUAAAGCAUCCGUAGCCGGCUUUGUAAGUUUUCGGUUAAAUCCAUGUGCUCAACGCAUGGGCUGCCGAAAAUACUGCAUAGCUAGGGAGUGGAAGAGGUAGACGGUACUCAGUAGGUAGGGGUAAAAUCCUUUGAUCUAUUGAUGACCACCUGUGGCGAAGGCGGUCUACCAGAACACGUUCGACGGUGAGGGAUGAAAGCUGGGGGAGCAAACCGGAUUAGAUACCCGGGUAGUCCCAGCUGUAAACGAUGCAGACUCGAUGAUGCAUUGGCAUAAUAGCCAUUGCAGUGUCGCAGGGAAGCCGUUAAGUCUGCCGCCUGGGAAGUACGUACGCAAGUAUGAAACUUAAAGGAAUUGGCGGGGGAGCACCACAAGGGGUGAAGCCUGCGGUUCAAU